CAGCCGCCACGGUAAUACGUAGGGUGCGAGCGUUAAUCGGAAUUACUGGGCGUAAAGCGUGCGCAGGCGGUUGUGUAAGACAGGUGUGAAAUCCCCGGGCUUAACCUGGGAACUGCGCUUGUGACUGCACAGCUAGAGUAUGGCAGAGGGGGGUGGAAUUCCACGUGUAGCAGUGAAAUGCGUAGAGAUGUGGAGGAACACCGAUGGCGAAGGCAGCCCCCUGGGCCAAUACUGACGCUCAUGCACGAAAGCGUGGGGAGCAAACAGGAUUAGAUACCCGUGUAGUCCCUGUCUCUUAUAC
RNAcentral lists this ribosomal RNA (301 nucleotides) under uncultured bacterium. Its description in RNAcentral is "partial 16S ribosomal RNA". It matches the Rfam family "Bacterial small subunit ribosomal RNA", at positions 509 to 807 of the family's 1533-position model. The record is from RNAcentral.